This 253-nucleotide ribosomal RNA is filed under the name uncultured bacterium. RNAcentral describes it as "partial 16S ribosomal RNA". It matches the Rfam family "Bacterial small subunit ribosomal RNA", at positions 524 to 776 of the family's 1533-position model. The record is from RNAcentral.
UACGAAGGGGGCUAGCGUUGCUCGGAAUUACUGGGCGUAAAGGGAGCGUAGGCGGAUAGUUUAGUCAGAGGUGAAAGCCCAGGGCUCAACCCUGGAAUUGCCUUUGAUACUGGCUAUCUUGAGUACGGAAGAGGUAUGUGGAACUCCGAGUGUAGAGGUGAAAUUCGUAGAUAUUCGGAAGAACACCAGUGGCGAAGGCGACUACCUGGCCUGUUCUUGACGCUGAGGCGCGAAAGCUAGGGGAGCAAACGGG